This 424-nucleotide ribosomal RNA is filed under the name Bacillus sp. T_4. RNAcentral's name for it is "partial 23S ribosomal RNA". It matches the Rfam family "Bacterial large subunit ribosomal RNA", at positions 2480 to 2902 of the family's 2925-position model. Lineage: Bacteria; Bacillati; Bacillota; Bacilli; Caryophanales; Bacillaceae. The record is from RNAcentral.
GGCUUAUCUCCCCCAAGAGUCCACAUCGACGGGGAGGUUUGGCACCUCGAUGUCGGCUCAUCGCAUCCUGGGGCUGUAGUCGGUCCCAAGGGUUGGGCUGUUCGCCCAUUAAAGCGGUACGCGAGCUGGGUUCAGAACGUCGUGAGACAGUUCGGUCCCUAUCCGUCGUGGGCGUAGGAAAUUUGAGAGGAGCUGUCCUUAGUACGAGAGGACCGGGAUGGACACACCGCUGGUGUACCAGUUGUCUUGCCAAAGGCAUCGCUGGGUAGCUAUGUGUGGACGGGAUAAGUGCUGAAAGCAUCUAAGCAUGAAGCCCCCCUCAAGAUGAGAUUUCCCAUAGCGCAAGCUAGUAAGAUCCCUGAAAGAUGAUCAGGUUGAUAGGUCAGAGGUGGAAGCGUGGCGACAUGUGUAGCUGACUGAUACU